RNAcentral lists this ribosomal RNA (735 nucleotides) under uncultured marine bacterium. RNAcentral describes it as "bacterial SSU rRNA". It matches the Rfam family "Bacterial small subunit ribosomal RNA", at positions 14 to 794 of the family's 1533-position model. The record is from RNAcentral.
UGAUCCUGGCUCAGAACGUACGCUGGCGGCACGCCUAACACAUGCAAGUCGAACGAAGUAGCAAUACUUAGUGGCAGACGGGUGAGUAACAUGUAGGUAUCUGCCCUUUGGCCUGGAAUAACACGAGGAAACUUGUGCUAAUACCGGAUAAGUCUUUACAGAGAAAGCUUUAUGCACCAUUGGAUGAGCCUGCACUUGAUUAGUUUGUUGGUGGGGUAAUGGCCUACCAAGACUGUGAUCAAUAGCUGAUUUGAGAGGAUGAUCAGCCACAUUGGGACUGAGACACGGCCCAAACUCCUACGGGAGGCAGCAGUGGGGAAUCUUGCACAAUGGAGGAAACUCUGAUGCAGCGAUGCCGCGUGAGUGAAGAAGGCCCUUGGGUUGUAAAGCUCUUUCGUCGGGGAAGAAAAUGACUGUACCCGAAUAAGAAGAUCCGGCUAACUUCGUGCCAGCAGCCGCGGUAAUACGAAGGGACCUAGCGUAGUUCGGAAUUACUGGGCUUAAAGAGUUCGUAGGUGGUUGAAAAAGUUAGUGGUGAAAUCCCAGAGCUUAACUCUGGAACUGCCAUUAAAACUUUUCAGCUAGAGUAUGAUAGAGGAAAGCAGAAUUUCUAGUGUAGAGGUGAAAUUCGUAGAUAUUAGAAAGAAUACCAAUUGCGAAGGCAGCUUUCUGGAUCAUUACUGACACUGAGGAACGAAAGCAUGGGUAGCGAAGAGGAUUAGAUACCCUCGUAGU